Molecule: ribosomal RNA, 456 nt
Filed under: Triticum aestivum (bread wheat)
Lineage: Eukaryota; Viridiplantae; Streptophyta; Magnoliopsida; Poales; Poaceae
Description: partial small subunit ribosomal RNA
Source: RNAcentral
UCACGUUGAGGUACUGCAGGAAAAAGAACUGCAAAAUCUGUUUCAAUUUUUCAUAAUCGAUUAGUUAACGUGGUGGUUAACUGUAUUGUGCAAGACGGAAAAAAAAUGUUGGCUUAUCUAAUUCUUUAUCGAGCCGUGAAAAAGAUUUAACAAAAGACAGAAACAAAUCCACUAUUGAUUUUACGUCAAGCAAUACGUAGAGUAACUUCCAAUAUAGGGGUAAAAAUAAGACGUAAUAAAAAAUCGACGCGGAAAGUUCCAAUUGAAAUAAGAUCUAAACAAGGAAGAGCACUUGCCAUUUAUUAGUUAUUAGAAGCAACCCAAAAGCGUCCGGGCCGAAAUAUGGCUUUCAAAUUAAGUUUCAAAUUAGUAGAUGCUUUCAAAGGAGGGGGUGCCAUACGCAAAGCGACUCAUAGAAUGGCAGAGGCAAAUAGAGCUCUUGCACAUUUUCGUUAA